CAACAGGGAUUGCCCUAGUAACGGCGAGUGAAGCGGCAACAGCUCAAAUUUGAAAUCUGGCUCUUUUAGAGUCCGAGUUGUAAUUUGCAGAGGGCGCUUUGGCUUUGGCAGCGGUCCAAGUUCCUUGGAACAGGACGUCACAGAGGGUGAGAAUCCCGUACGUGGUCGCUAGCUAUUGCCGUGUAAAGCCCCUUCGACGAGUCGAGUUGUUUGGGAAUGCAGCUCUAAAUGGGAGGUAAAUUUCUUCUAAAGCUAAAUAUUGGCCAGAGACCGAUAGCGCACAAGUAGAGUGAUCGAAAGAUGAAAAGCACUUUGGAAAGAGAGUCAAACAGCACGUGAAAUUGUUGAAAGGGAAGCGCUUGCAGCCAGACUUGCUUGCAGUUGCUCAUCCGGGCUUUUGCCCGGUGCACUCUUCUGCAGGCAGGCCAGCAUCAGUUUGGGCGGUGGGAUAAAGGUCUCUGACACGUUCCUUCCUU
This 476-nucleotide ribosomal RNA is filed under the name Curvularia sp. W41. RNAcentral's name for it is "eukaryotic LSU rRNA". It matches the Rfam family "Eukaryotic large subunit ribosomal RNA", at positions 66 to 546 of the family's 3401-position model. Lineage: Eukaryota; Fungi; Ascomycota; Dothideomycetes; Pleosporales; Pleosporaceae. The record is from RNAcentral.